Molecule: ribosomal RNA, 515 nt
Filed under: uncultured bacterium
Lineage: Bacteria
Description: partial 16S ribosomal RNA
Rfam family: Bacterial small subunit ribosomal RNA
Source: RNAcentral
GAUGAACGCUGGCGGCGUGCCUAAUACAUGCAAGUCGAGCGAAUGGAUUAAGAGCUUGCUCUUAUGAAGUUAGCGGCGGACGGGUGAGUAACACGUGGGUAACCUGCCCAUAAGACUGGGAUAACUCCGGGAAACCGGGGCUAAUACCGGAUAACAUUUUGAACCGCAUGGUUCGAAAUUGAAAGGCGGCUUCGGCUGUCACUUAUGGAUGGACCCGCGUCGCAUUAGCUAGUUGGUGAGGUAACGGCUCACCAAGGCAACGAUGCGUAGCCGACCUGGGCGGGUAAUCGGCCACACGGGGACUGAGACGCGGCCCAGACUCCGGCGGGAGGCAGCAGUAGGGAAUCUGCCGCAAUGGACGAAAGUCUGACGGAGCAACGCCGCGUGAGUGAUGAAGGCUUUCGGGUCGUAAAACUCUGUUGUUAGGGAAGAACAAGUGCUAGUUGAAUAAGCUGGCACCUUGACGGUGCCUAACCAGAAACCCACGGCUAACUACGUGCCAGCCGCCGCCGUAA